This 253-nucleotide ribosomal RNA is filed under the name uncultured bacterium. RNAcentral describes it as "partial 16S ribosomal RNA". It matches the Rfam family "Bacterial small subunit ribosomal RNA", at positions 524 to 776 of the family's 1533-position model. The record is from RNAcentral.
UACAGAGGGUGCGAGCGUUAAUCGGAAUUACUGGGCGUAAAGCGCACGUAGGUGGCGACGUAAGUAGGGUGUGAAAGCCCCGGGCUCAACCUGGGAAUUGCAUUCGAGACUGCAUUGCUGGAGUACGGAAGAGGAGGGCGGAAUUCCCGGUGUAGGGGUGAACUGCGUAGAUAUCGGGAGGAACAUCAGUGGCGAAGGCGGCCCUCUGGUCCAGUACUGACACUCAAGUGCGAAAGCGUGGGGAGCAAACAGG